Long non-coding RNA from Canis lupus familiaris (dog), 1648 nucleotides. RefSeq lists it as uncharacterized. The record is from RefSeq and is a predicted model, not a curated record. Lineage: Eukaryota; Metazoa; Chordata; Mammalia; Carnivora; Canidae. The transcript has 4 exons.
UCUCCUUUGGAUUAAACGAGACACAUGACAUGAAUUCCAACAAUCUCAUGGAGACAUGUGAAGAUGUGCUUUAGAGUAUGGAGAAGAUUUCAUUGGCAGAGGCAAGAAGGAGAGAAUAAGCAUGAAUGCAGAUGCAGAACCAAGCAAGGGCACUUUAUGUGUAAAUUCAUUGAGCAAGCACUGGAAGAACUGGGAAGAGAGGCCGACUGACAUCCAUAACAGAGACAUUUUGUACACUUGACCAUUGACAGAUUUCUCCAAAGUAAUGACCUUUUGUUUUAGACCAAGAGGCCCGUGGAGCUGUCAGAAGUGCCAUGAUCUGGAAGAGUCCAUCUGAAAGAAGGUUUGAAGUCUACUUGUGGCUCAAAUGGUUUUGAAGUGCAACAUCAAAAGGUAAAUGAGAAAGCAGAAGACUGAAGAGCAGUGGAGAUGAAUGAUGAUUCUGGAGAAGUGAGGCUUGAUCUGAAAUGUAUAGACCAUGGAUGGACAUAAGGGAUAAAAUUACCUUUGACUAAGACUGCGGGGUUUGCAGUUAUGCUGAUAGCUAUAGGUAAUCUUAAUUAGACAAUGCUAUAAAGGUAAGGGGGAAAACACUUGUUUUGGCUUUCUCAAGGUCUUGGCUCCCUAGCAGCAAUAGCUUACAGUGAGAACAGCAGGUGACAUUGCCACAUCUCAGAAUACCAUGGGCCAAAGCAUUAGGGACUAUUGAGCCAAAGCCCUCUAGAUUCCUAACCUCAGCAUCUGCUUUCUGAUUUUUUGCUUCAUCUUUCCAAAGAGAAAGGUCACAUAACUAUCAAGUGGCAGAGCCAGGAUUCACAUGCAGGCUGCCUAGUUCCAGAGCCUCAAUUUAGAUGAUGGCACAAUUUCUGCUUGCUAGGAUUGGUGACACUGUGUGGGUUGUCAGCCUCCUCCAUUUUGCAAACCUCCACUCAAACUUAAGGAAAAAAAGAAACUUGCAGGUUAUUUUCCCAAAAUAAACCAUUCUCUAUUAUCCACCAGCCCCAUUCCUCCCCACUUUCUAUACCUAAAUCCUGAGGUGUUUCCAUCAUUUUUUAGACCUCUCCUGAAAUUACAUUGCAGAGAACCAGUACCAGGUACAUCCAGCUGAGGACCAUUGGAGUCUAUCCCUGCAGGUUUUGUGUGCAGAAGAUUGAAUUGUCAAUUACAUUCUCUCUGCUUCUGUGCCCUGCAUCCUGGAGAAUCAUGAAGCGCAGGCCAUGAAGCAAGCCACAGAACUCUCGGGGAUUUGGUCAUUAGUUGUCAGGGCUGAAAGCUUUUAUGUGGCUCACUGUAGAGCAAUGGGAGGUGGUGAGGACACUAAGUUAUUUUAAAAGACAACAAAGAUUAUUUCUGACUGUCCUUUCCACUGAGGCUUAUGUGCAAUUUCUAUACACAAGAAUAUUUUCAUCAAGUACCCUGUGCCCAGCACUAAGCUAGUUGUUAUGAGAGAUCCAAAGCUCAAGAAAUGUUUUCUGUUGCUAGGGGUCUUUAAUCUAGUUGAGAAGACAUGAUAUACACCUAACAGAUCAGUAGAAAACACUUCAUAAUUAUGCAAAAAAACUACAUGUAACCUCAUACCGGUAAAAAAUGUGCUAUGGAAAGUCAAAACAAACAGAAAUAAUCAUAGCAAUAGUAAUAAUAAUAAGAC